AAUUUUGGACAAUGGGCGCAAGCCUGAUCCAGCCAUGCCUCGUGAGUGAAGAAGGCCUUCGGGGUGUAAAGCACUUUCGGACGGAAAGAAAUCGCGCAGGCUAAUACCCUGCGAUGAGGACGGUACCGGCAUAAUAAGCGCCGUCUACCUACGUCCCCGCAGCCGCGGUAAUACGUAGGUUGCUAGCGUUAAUCGGAAUUACUGGGCGUAAAGCGUGCGCAGGCGGUUGAUUAAGACAAGAGUGAAAUCCCCGGGCUUAACCUGGGAACUGCGCUUGUGACUGGUCAGCUAGAGUACGGCAGAGGGGGGUGGAAUUCCACGUGUAGCAGUGAAAUGCGUAGAGAUGUGGAAGAACACCGAUGGCGAAGGCAGCCCCCUGGGCCGAUACUGACGCUCAUGCACGAAAGCGUGGGUAGCAAACAGG
Molecule: ribosomal RNA, 424 nt
Filed under: uncultured bacterium
Lineage: Bacteria
Description: partial 16S ribosomal RNA
Rfam family: Bacterial small subunit ribosomal RNA
Source: RNAcentral